Oncorhynchus tshawytscha (Chinook salmon) is the source of this 719-nucleotide long non-coding RNA. The record is from Ensembl. NCBI's taxonomy places the organism in Eukaryota, Metazoa, Chordata, Actinopteri, Salmoniformes, Salmonidae.
GGUAGAUGUCUAGUCUCCUUUAUGGCUCUAAUCUGAUAGUGGGGUGGUAGAUGUCUAGUCUCCCUUAUGGCUCUAAUCUGAUAGUGGUAGUGGGUGGGAGAUGUCUAGUCUACUUUAUUGCUCUAAUCUGAUAAUGGUAGUGGGGUGGUAGAUGUCUAGUCUCCUUUAUGGCUCUAAUCUGGUAGUGGGGUGGUAGAUAUCUAGUCUCCUUUAUGGCUCUAAUCUGAUAGUGGUAGUGGGGUGGUAGAUGUCUAGUCUCCUUUAUGGCUCUAAUCUGAUAGUGGUAGUGGGGUGGAAGAUGUCUAGUCUCCUUUAUGGCUCUAAUCUGAUAGUGGUAGUGGGGAGGAAGAUGUCUAGUCUUCUUUAUGGCUCUAAUCUGAUACUGUUAGUGGGGUGGUUGAUGUCUAGUCUCCUUUAUGGCUCUAAUCUGAUAGUGGUAGUGGGGUGGUAGAUGUCUUGUCUCCCUUAUGGCUCUAAUCUGAUAGUGGGGUGGUAGAUGUCUAGUCUUCUUUAUGGCUCUAAUCUGAUACUGUUAGUGGGGUGGUUGAUGUCUAGUCUCCUUUAUGGCUCGUAUCUGAUAGUGGUAGUGGGGUGGUAGAUGUCUAGUCUCCUGUAUGUCUCUAAUCUGAUAGUGGUAGAUGUCUAGUCUCCUUUAUGGCUCUAAUCUGAUAGUGGGGUGGUAGAUGUCUAGUCUCCUUUAUGGCUCUAAUCUGAUAGUG